GUUAAAACUAUUUGAAUUGGUUGACAUUUACCAUUCUUUCCAGGACUUUCUAUGAUAUUCAAUCAAUUAUCUGUCUUCUCCAACUUGUCUUUGCUCUUCUCGCUUAUCUCAUGGAAACAUGUUAUUCCCACCUUCUCCCACACUCAACUACUGUUUUCCUUAGGAGAGACCUUGAGUACUGUGAAAUCUCCUCAGAGAAAUGUUAAGCAAGUCACUCAAACUCUCUAGGCUACAGUUUCCUCAUCUGUGAAAGAAUAGAUCACAAGCUCACCAGCCACAGAGCUCAGCAUCAGAUCCUUACAGGGGACCGGUGACCAGGUGAGCAAGGGUCAUCACUCUAGAGAGAAGCUGAUGCCAACCAGCAUAGGUCAAGAACCAUCAUAAGACUAGAGGCUUCUCACUCCUUUUUCCAAAGCUACAUUAUGACUGGGAAAUUUCUAAAAGAUUGUUUAAAUUAUUAGAGCAAACUAAACUCUGAAUCAGAUUCCUGCUCUGCCACCUCCAAUGUGCCUAGAAAGGGAAGCAGAAGAGGCAACUUUACAUUAAAUUACCAUGUUUCCUCUGGAGUGGCAACUGUGAUUCAAGACAUGUGACUUUGUUUAUGGAUUAUCUUUAGCAAGCCGACCCUCACCUGGAAGAUUCACUUUGUGACUCUUAAACCAGAAGGUUGCUUAUUGCCCCUUCCUGUUUAAUAGAGUUCAUGGAGACCCAGACCUUCCAGACAUGCCAGUCCUGCUCUCCCCUGUGCCUGCGUAGUGAUUUAGAUGUCAUUUUUGCCUGUGCAGACUGUCCUGACGCUUCUGCCUCUGUAGGAAAGACAAAAACACACAACUUCCCAACAAUCAUAUUCCUAGAUCUUUACCUAAGUAAACUGAAAUCUCACAUUCACAAAACAACCUGUAUGCAAAUGUUUAUAGUAAUUUUACUCAUAAUCUCCAAAACCUAGAAGCAACCAAAAUGUCUUUCCACAGAUGAGUGGAUAAAAUAAUUGUGGUAAUUUUUGUUUUGCUUUGUUUUGAGAUAGGGUCUCACUUUGUUGCCCAGGCUGGAGUGUAGUGGCAGGAUCAUAGCUCACUGCAGCUUCAAACUCCUGGGCUCAAGCAAUCCUUUCAUCUCAGCCUUCAGAGUAGCUGGGACUACAGGUGUGCACCACCAUGCUUGGCUAAUGUUUAAAAAAUAUUUUUUUUUAAUGGAGAUGGGGUCUUCUAUGUUGCCCAGGCUGGUCUCAAGCUCCUGGGCUCAAGUGAUCCUCCCACCUGGCCUCCUAAAGAGCUGGAAUUACAGGCAUGAGCCACAAUUCCUAGCCAUGGUACAUUCAUAUAAUGGAGUACUAUUCUGCUGUAAAACAAACAAACAAACAAAAAAAAAAAA
This 1371-nucleotide long non-coding RNA is filed under the name Macaca fascicularis (crab-eating macaque). RNAcentral describes it as "lncRNA (ENSMFAG00000048985.1)". Lineage: Eukaryota; Metazoa; Chordata; Mammalia; Primates; Cercopithecidae. The record is from RNAcentral.